Molecule: long non-coding RNA, 563 nt
Organism: Trachemys scripta elegans
Lineage: Eukaryota; Metazoa; Chordata; Testudines; Emydidae
Exons: 3
Source: RefSeq, a predicted model, not a curated record
UGCACAUUCCUAGCACCUUCAAUCUCACAGCACAGCUGUAGGGUGGGCAAACAGUGUAUUAUUUACAGAGUAAACUGAGGCACAGAAUGGACACUGAGAGGAUGGGGAGAGAGGAUCAUUGCUGGAGUCCUUACACUCCAGUGCUUUGGCAGAACAUUCAGCAGACACGGACAACAGGUCAAAUCCUCCCAUACUACUUGUCUGCUUCAUGCUGAUCCAGCGAUGCACAGAAGCUGGGAAGCCAGCUUAACCAGGUAGCUGGGAAUUUUCUUGUUUCACCAUGGCCUUGCCCAGGCCAUUGGGGGAAUUAGAAGGCCUACACUCUGUGAUCCCCAGGUCUAACUGCAGUAUUGCCAACCCCAACACAUUAAAAAAUGUGGAUUAAAAAGACUGGAUUAAAUAUUAGAUUUAAAAAUAAUUUGGGGGUUCUAUUUAUUUGCCUGCUGAUUUUUGAGCCUUUAAGUUUUCAAACUUUUCUCUGCAGCCCAUGAGGGCUAGACACUAUUUUUUUAAUGUAAAGUUACAAUUCUCACCAAAUCACAUGACUCCAGAAGCUAUGCUUU